AAACUUUCAACAACGGAUCUCUUGGUUCUGGCAUCGAUGAAGAACGCAGCGAAAUGCGAUAAGUAAUGUGAAUUGCAGAAUUCAGUGAAUCAUCGAAUCUUUGAACGCACAUUGCGCCCCUCGGUAUUCCGGGGGGGCAUGCCUGUUCGAGCGUCAUUA
This 159-nucleotide ribosomal RNA is filed under the name uncultured Ascomycota. RNAcentral describes it as "5.8S ribosomal RNA". It matches the Rfam family "5.8S ribosomal RNA". From Rfam's summary of the family: 5.8S ribosomal RNA (5.8S rRNA) is a component of the large subunit of the eukaryotic ribosome. It is transcribed by RNA polymerase I as part of the 45S precursor that also contains 18S and 28S rRNA. Lineage: Eukaryota; Fungi; Ascomycota. The record is from RNAcentral.